RNAcentral lists this ribosomal RNA (466 nucleotides) under uncultured bacterium. Its description in RNAcentral is "partial 16S ribosomal RNA". It matches the Rfam family "Bacterial small subunit ribosomal RNA", at positions 28 to 507 of the family's 1533-position model. The record is from RNAcentral.
GAUGAACGCUGGCGGCGUGCUUAACACAUGCAAGUCGAACGAUGAAGCUCAGCUUGCUGGGUGGAUUAGUGGCGAACGGGUGAGUAACACGUGAGUAACCUGCCCUUAACUCUGGGAUAAGCCUGGGAAACUGGGUCUAAUACCGGAUAGGAGCGUCCACCGCAUGGUGGGUGUUGGAAAGAUUUAUCGGUUUUGGAUGGACUCGCGGCCUAUCAGCUUGUUGGUGAGGUAAUGGCUCACCAAGGCGACGACGGGUAGCCGGCCUGAGAGGGUGACCGGCCACACUGGGACUGAGACACGGCCCAGACUCCUACGGGAGGCAGCAGUGGGGAAUAUUGUACAAUGGGCGCAAGCCUGAUGCAGCGACGCCGCGUGAGGGAUGACGGCCUUCGGGUUGUAAACCUCUUUCAGUAGGGAAGAAGCGAAAGUGACGGUACCUGCAGAAGAAGCACCGGCUAACUACGUG